CCUGGUUUGAUCUGCCAGUAGUCAUAAUGCUUGUUCAAAAGAUUAAGCAUGGCAUAGUGUAGUUGAUACUAAUUCGACUGUGAAACUGGAAUGGCUUCAUUAUCGUUUUAUCAGUUUGUUUGAUGGUAUUGCUAUCGAUAAUCGUAGUAAUUCUAAGAGCUAAUAGUGCAACAACCGACUUCUGGAAUGGGAUGGCUUUAUUAGAUAAAGAGGUCGACGCGGGGCUCUGCCGGUUGCUUGAUGAUUAUGAUAAAUCGACGGAUCGCAAGGCAUCGUGGCCGGGACGCAUCAUUAUCAAAUUCUGCCUAUCAACUUUCGAUGGUAGGAUAGAGGCCUACUAUGGUGGUGGGAGGUGACGGAGAUUAGGGUUCGAUUCGGAGAGGGAGCCUGAGAAACGGCUACCACAUCAAGGAAGGCAAGCAGGCGCGCAAAUUACCCAAUCCUGAACGGGAGGUAGUGACAAUUAACAAUACCGGGCUCUUAUGAGUCUGGUAAUUGGAAUAGAGUACAAUCUAAAUCCCUUAACGAGGAUCCAUUGGAGGGAAGUCUGGUGCCAGCAGCCGCGGUAAUUCCAGCUCCAAUAGCGUAUAUUUUAAGUUGUUGCAGUAAAAAGCUCGUAGUUGGAUCUUGGGUUGGGGGAUCGGUCCGCCCUGGUGUGCACCGGUCGUCGUCCUUCUGCGGCGAUGCGCUCCUGGCCUUAACUGGCCGGGUCGUGCUCGGCGCUGUUACUUUUGAAGAAAUUAGAGUGCUCAAAGCAAGCCUUACGCUCUGGAUACAUUAGCAUGGGAUACAUCAUAGGAUUUCGGUCCUUUGUGUUGGCCUUCGGGAUGGAGUAAUGAUUAACAGGAACAGUCGGGGGCAUUCGUAUUUCAUAGUCAGAGGUGAAAUUCUUGGAUUUAUGAAGACGAACAACUGCGGAAAGCAUUUGCCAAGGAUGUUUUCAUUAAUCAAGAACGAAAGUUGGGGGGCUCGAAGACGAUCAGAUACGUCCUAGUCUCAACAUAAACGAUGCCGACCAGGGAUGCGGCGGAUGUUGCUUUCAGGACUCGCCGGCACCUUAUGAGAAAUCAAAGUCUUUGGGUUCCGGGGGGAGUAUGGUCGCAGGCUGAAACUUAAAGGAAUUGACGGAAGGGCACACAGGAGUGGAGCCUGCGGCUUAAUUUGACUCAACACGGGGAAACUUACCAGGUCCAGACAUAGUAAGGAUUGACAGACUGAGAGCUCUUUUUGAUUCUAUGGGUGGUGGUGCAUGGCCGUUCUUAGUUGGUGGAGGAUUUGUCUGGUUAAUUCCGUUAAGAACGAGACUGCUGUUACUAGCUAUGCGGAGGUGACCCUCCGCGGCCAGCUUCUUAGAGGGACCACGGCGUUCAGGCCGCGGAAGUUUUGAGGCAAUAACAGGUCUGUGAUGCGCUUAGAUGUUUGGGCCGCAGCGCGCUACACUGAUGUAUUCAACGAGUCUAUAGCUUGGCCGACAGGCCGGGUAAUCUUUGAAAUUUCAUCGUGAUGGGGAUAAGAUCAUUGCAAUUGUUGGUUUCUUCAACGAGGAAUUCCUAGUAAGCCGAGUCAUCAGCUCGCGUUGACUACGUCCUGCUUUUGUACACACGCCCGUCGCUCCUACGAUUGAAUGGUCCGGUGAAGUGUUCGGAUCGCGGCGACGUGGGCGGUUUGCUGCGGCGACGUCGCGAGAAGUCCAUGAACUUAUCAUUUAGAGGAAGGAGAAGUCGUAACAAGGUUUCGUAGGUGAACCUGCGGAAG
This 1755-nucleotide ribosomal RNA is filed under the name Casuarina equisetifolia subsp. incana. RNAcentral describes it as "SSU rRNA". It matches the Rfam family "Eukaryotic small subunit ribosomal RNA". The record is from RNAcentral. Lineage: Eukaryota; Viridiplantae; Streptophyta; Magnoliopsida; Fagales; Casuarinaceae.